Molecule: ribosomal RNA, 463 nt
Filed under: uncultured bacterium
Lineage: Bacteria
Description: partial 16S ribosomal RNA
Rfam family: Bacterial small subunit ribosomal RNA
Source: RNAcentral
CUACGGGAUGCAGCAGUAGGGAAUUUUCGACAAUGGGGGAAACCCUGAUCGAGCAAUGCCGCGUGAACGAAGAAGGUCUUCGGAUUGUAAAGUUCUUUUAUUGGAGAAGAACUAGUGCACUAGGAAAUGAGUGCGCUUUGACGGUAUCCAUUGAAUAAGCCCCGGCUAACUACGUGCCAGCAGCCGCGGUAAUACGUAGGGGGCGAGCGUUAUCCGGAAUUAUUGGGCGUAAAGCGUGCGUAGGCGGUUUGUUAAGUCGUUUGUAAAAGAUCUCAGCCCAACUGAGUAAGGCGAAUGAAACUGGCAGACUUGGGUACGGUAGAGGUAAGCGGAAUUCCAUGUGUAGCGGUGGAAUGCGUAGAUAUAUGGAGGAACACCAAUGGCGAAGGCAGCUUACUGGGCCGGAACUGACGCUGAUGCACGAAAGCGUGGGGAGCAAACAGGAUUAGAUACCCGAGUAGUC